UGCCCUUUCGUCCCCGCUCGUGUGAAAUGUACAUUGUGCAUUCAUCGGGUCCCAAAGGUUCAUAAUAAUGAUAAGGUACUGAAAGAUGAUUAGGAUCCCUGCGGGAGAAAAAAAAAAAAUAGAUGGAAGCCCCAGAUGUUCUAUUUUACUGAUUGAAAAGAUGUUAUCUUUAAUAAGCUGAUGGGCUCAAAUCCACUUUUACUCCCAGUUAAACCGCAUUUUCAGGUAUCUGCAUUUUUCCUGAAUAUUUAACACAUCAGAACGUGGCAAAGGUUUUUUUCUUUGCUCCUUCCUUUAAUCUCCUCCUCUCAGUUAAAUAAAGGACAGCAGUAGCUCAGAAAUAAGGGAGAGCGCUGCAGGGCUGUGCUACUACUCUGAAAUUUGAAGCAAACUGCUUAGGAGAUUUAUAUCUAGAUAGUGAUUUGUAAAAAGCUUUGCAGAGGUAUUUACCGGAAUAGGGGAAGAAAGGAAAAAGAAAGAUAGAGGGGCAGUGGUUAUCUGUGUCACAGCAGCUCAGCUGAACGCUCCCAGCACGGUGCACACGGGUGUGAGCGCACAACUUCAGUGAGCACAUCUGCACGCCAGGUCAGCGAUACGGCCCGGCUGCUGCUGGCUUUACGAUCAAAGAUGUAAUGCAUGAGUGAGUUGUUUGGUAUUUUAAAAUGGCAACUUUCACGUACGUAUGUGAGCUGAAAAUUCAGGCCGUUCACACUGACCUUGUGAGCCCAUCAGCAUUAACCAGCAGCUACUGGUGACACAUAGGAUAUGCCAAAGACACAUUAAAUAUUUAGGGUAGAGACCAUUUUAACAGUUUUAAUGUCAGUGUUUUGAUGCUGCAUUCUGUAAGAGACACAUGUAUUGUGUUCAUAAUGUAAUAAGCCACAGUGGUUCACUCUCCUUUUAUUCUCUACAUUAAACUAUACCCAUUAUGCCUUUUUUUGCUUUGAGCACAGUCUGACAAGAGCUCAUACAGCUCUCCCCGUCCUGAAUUCAAGGAGAGAUAAUUGUCCUAGACAGAAUAACCCAACUGUACAGUGCUCCUCAGUUAAAACCAACACACUAUUUUGUAGUGGCAGCAAAAGUAGCCCAAAGUUGAUUGAUUGAAAUACUGCCAUUUAGUAAAGCCUUGGAACUGCUCUAUAUGAAAUCCUGAGCCGAGUAAGGAUUGCAUGACAGAGCAAGAAAUCUCACGCAGAUUCAGAGCUGUCAGCUCUAAUAUCGAGUUGAUUAUUUUCAUUUUGAAGAGCUAAUAUUUAAGCUCAAAUUCAAUUGAAUGCAUCCACAAUCUGUCACUAUUCUGUCUUGGUCAUUAUUUUUACUGUGUAAUUCUGUCACCUACGCAAUUCUCUAAUUCUUCUUAUUUUACCAUUAUCCAUAUUGUAUACGCAGAGGUAAUGUAUGAUAUUACUGCUGCUUUCCAUUUGUACUGUAGAUUAACGUUUUAAUUCAAUCAGUUUAGCUUCCCAGUAACACAACAGGGUGAUCAAUCUUCCCACACCAGAAUAACAAUAAUACUGCGUUUCCAGAAUGAGAUGGAUUCUGAAUGUACUGUACAUAUUCUCACUGGAAUACAUAAGAGAGUAAAAAGAAAUCUUUUAAUUUCUCACCUGCAGAAGAUGUAUUUUUAAUGUAAAAAAUACCCUUCCCUCUACAUUCUUUCUGGGUACAACUGUUAGAUCUCAAUCUUCAAUUACAUUUUCAUAUAUAUAUAUAUAUAUAUAUAUAUAUAUAUAUUUUUUUUUUUUUUUAAGACAUUGGACCUUUUAUUACAAUCUGUAAAAUGAAUCAUUUCUAUCAUUGCUGUAAAUGUAACAGGAUACAUUUCUGUUUUCUUACAGCUAUUGAUCGCACAGACCCCUGCUUCUCAUUUGGACUUCUUUUCUUCACUCUAGAUGGAUUUUCCUCCUGUGUUCUCGAGGGUAAACCUAUAUUGCUUGGUGGAAAUUCACUGCUUUAAAAUUAUAAUUAGUAAAGUGGAAAUCUUAUCUCCAGCAGUCUUUGAAUAAAUGCAGUCACAGAGGAACUAAGUUAACUGCUCAGGCCCAGUACUGCACCGUGAGCCAGUCAGGCUGCUGUGCUGAUAGCAGAUCUGGUUAGCAUCCUCCUGCCUUGUUUUCUUUUGAAGUUUUGAGGCUUAAAAGUCCAAAUGUGUUUUAGGUUUAGGAACACCGAAAGGCAGUCAGAUACCUCCUGCUUCUUGUCUGAAGCCUUCUUCCUUUUGCGGCAGUUCUGGGAUCCCCCAGAUGUCAUGCUAGUAAGGUUUGGAUUGGAAUUCUGGCCUGAGUAACUACAGCAUAACUGAAAUUAACUGUACUGUGUUAUCUUCUAACUCUGCAAUUAGCUUGUGUCACCAGCAAAUGAAAUGCAUGAGUAAUUCCUAUGCGGAAAUUGCUUGCCACCUCAUUUAUUAACAUUAAAACAGAUGCUGUUUUAUCACUGACUGAUACUGGACAUUAAUCAGUAUUUUGUCAGGCUUCGCAUGCAUAUUAAUAUCACAGCUGGAAGGAAUCUAGGGAAGAUCCUUUGUAAAAUAUACUCUACUUCCUGCCUAAUCGCCUGCCAGCGCAGCAACAGCGUAACUGCUUGUACCCAAUGUCACUCAUCCACUGUUUGCCACUUCAGUGCACAUUUUCCCACAGAUGGUAUCCACCCACAGCGAAAGCUGAAAAUACAGCAAGCAGUGUUUGCCUCAAAGGAAACGAGACAGAAAAACACGGCCAUCCCAUCCCAUCUUCUGGUCAACCUCUCCCUUUACAAACAGGGCUGUUAUAAAGCAACCCACUGAAACUACAGGUGCUUGACUUGCUUCGUCAAAUAAUUCACACUUUGAAGGGUGAAUAAAAUGUAAUUAACAUGCUGAGUGAUGGGCAACGUGCUGCACCAGGACUCUUAAGUUUUCUGGAUGGUUUUUUUGCCUUCUAUUCCCAGGAGCUCAUUUCCUUGGCAUGCAUUCUAGCACAGUUUUCCAAACCAUCUAAGCAUUCUGUUAUUAAGUUAGUAAGGUAAUGAAGUGAGGUUUGGGUAUAAGGAACUAAAGGGCAUAGCUAUCUCCCAUGCAGUUUAUAUAAUCAUCUACGUGCAUCGAGUCCUCCGUACACCCCAGCAAAUGUAAGCAGCAACAACUGCUUCUUUGCAGUUGAUUUAAAGCAACUGAAAGUGGAGAGAGGAGGUAAAAAAACCCACUAGAUUUAAAAGCGGUGCCCAAAGGAAUAAAUUAAAGGAUUUCAAAUGCCAAUUUUCAGGCAAAUUAUCGCAGAUGGGAAAUGGCCUGGCAGUCAAAUGAGGAUUCUUCAUAGGAAAAUGAUCUGACUCCAUAAUUGGAGCAAAAAUUAUUCAUAUCAGUUAAAAUAAGGCUCAGAAUUAAGCUUUAAGUUUCUUUGAGUUCCAGAAUGCCCAUGAAAGGGGGGGAGGGAGGAAAAGAAGAAGGGGGAAGUUAAAGGGAUCUCUUCAACACCUCGAAUUUUCCUUGCAUGUGUGAGAACCCAGAGAUACCUGUAAGAAACCAACCUUGCACCACCGCAGAGAAUCCAACAGACAGGAACUGGUCUUACUACGAACUGCAUUAAGCUUUGUCUCUGUCCUUUGCAGAUGCUGCUGAGCAGCCACAAAGAAAAGCAGCAGCACCGCAGCUCCUGCAGGAGUUGUGGUGCUGUCUGCACACUGCAAUCUGGCUGCUGGUGUGAGGAAGCAAGAGGAAAAUCCUUGAGAUCCAUCCCAGGCAGAAGCAUUAAUAUCGAGAGCUCAGCAGAAACCUCCCAGGGAACGGCAUCACUCCAGGCCAUACAAUGCACUGCUUCUGCCCCCACAGCUACAUAAAUGUUCCUCCCUUACAAUGUCUGCCCGUGUUUCUUUUCAUCUUUCCUCUCUUUUUUCCAUGCUGCCUAUUCAUUUGUUUUCAUCUCCUGUUUUAAUCUUUUAGUCCUUCACGUGUGCUGCAUGUGCCCUACAAAGCAGUGGUUCCUGCAAAGCCUGCAGCUGCUGAAAUGCAAUAGGACCCAUACAAUGAACGAGGCUGUGUUCUGCUAGGAUCCAUGUGCCACUGAUUCAUGCUGGGUGCCUAUGACGGACCCCACUACAAAGCUGUUCUAAUGUUAUUAAUGUCUCAGACUCCUUGAGAAUAUUUUGGGAGCCAAGACUGGGCCUGGUGUCUGUGCAGAAAAAGAAAUGCUUUCACCCCAUGCAUGGCUGUUGGCCUCCAGCUCCAAAUGGGUAAUCCAGAGUUAGAAAGCAGCAGUUUGCCUCUGAUUGCACUGCAGCUGUCCAGAAAGAAAUGGACCUGAGCUCCUCAUGGACUGAAAGACUGGAGGUGAGCUGGUCCUCAGAAAUGGGGAUUUCAAAUGGUCCUACCCUGAAAAGAGUAAUCUGGGGCAGGAUGCAGCAACGUGCAGGGCUGACUGUUAGGGCUGAUGGUGGCCCACGCUAUUGCUCUGCUACAACUCUUUGAACUUUCAUGCUGCUGUAAACACUGGGCAUACUAAUAAUCCUUUGCACUUUUCCUAAAAGGGUCAAAUGUUUAUUUAAUUAAUAACAGAUUAUAACCUCCUUGCUUUGCUCCAUUCUGUGUGAACAAAUCUGGAAAAGACUGUACCACAGCUGACCUGGCAGGGUACCCUCCUUGUUAUCCUUCCCUCUCGUUCUGCAAGAAGCAGAGUCUAGCAGAGAAUCACAAGCACUGUUCUGAGGAUGAAGAGGAAGGGACCUUUAAUGGUCAGAAACUGAACAGGUAACUGUGUGGGCUGGUGUUAGUGUGAGUCAGUCAAGUAGGGAGAUGCUUAGUUUGAUCCACGGUAACAGAACUCUGAAAGAAAAGCAGACGGGGUACAAUGGACACCAAGCUAAGAUGCAGUCACCCCCAGCUACUAGGAUACAACUUCCCAGCCACUGGCUCUGCCCAAAACACAAAUCUGGUGCUCAAGUCUUCUGUCUGCGUAGGACCAAGCCCAGCUUCAGGCUGUGCUGCAUAUGUACACUAUUGGUAAAACUAGAGAAUCUCACCAUGAGUUACUGUGCAAUGGAAGCCACCUCUUCAUUUGAACCUCAGUAGAGACCCUGUUUGAUUUUUUACAGCUACAUAUUUAAUAUUUAAAAAACAGGAAUUCAUUAAAAAUAAAUGUGUUUCUCUCUAGGAAGUCUUUGGCUUAAAUGCCCAUUUUUCAAACACUGUAUGUGAAAAUGCUCAAGUCCUGCAGUGGGUCACCUAUUAAAAUUCUGAUUUGAAGAUGAGCCUACAAGUCAUAAACAGUCUCAUAAAGAUGUAACUAUCAUAACUUUCCUUUUCCCAGUUGGAACUGUAAGGCAAAUGCUUCUGAAGCACCUAAUGUAUGACUAAUGUUUGUUUGUUUUACAUGAAGUUUUACAGCUGCAGUGUUCCAAGAAUGCUUAAAUUCAAUAAACAGCUAUUAUAAUUCA
Molecule: long non-coding RNA, 5409 nt
Organism: Gallus gallus (chicken)
Lineage: Eukaryota; Metazoa; Chordata; Aves; Galliformes; Phasianidae
Exons: 2
Source: RefSeq, a predicted model, not a curated record